AGGAGGAUCAGACGGACGGACGUCACGUUCUUGAACCAGUGGAAUUCAAAGCGAGGAGCCCGUUUUACCCUCAGUGCACUUGCAUCUCUCAGGGAAAACCGGCUUGUCCUAGCACAGUAACUUUUCUUGCUGCUGACAAGGAGAUGGAAGCCACACAGGAUGGAAUUCGGGCAGUAAUCCUGGCUACAAGAACAAAAAAAUGCUGAAUGGUGGGCAGGGAUGGAAAGGUGGCACGCAGAGGAUUUCUAGUGCAGUGAGACUUCUCCGUGUGACACCACAGUGAAGGAUACGUGUCCCAACCCCCAGGAUGCACAGCGCAGGAGUGAGCCCUGACGUCAGCCGUGGGCUCUGGGCGGUGACGGUGUGUCGGCGUAGCUCCAUCCACCGCGACAAGUGUUCCGUCUGCUGGGAGGUGGACAGUGGGGAGGGUGUGCACGUGUGGGGGCAGGA
Camelus dromedarius (Arabian camel) is the source of this 450-nucleotide long non-coding RNA. RefSeq lists it as uncharacterized. The record is from RefSeq and is a predicted model, not a curated record. Lineage: Eukaryota; Metazoa; Chordata; Mammalia; Artiodactyla; Camelidae. The transcript has 3 exons.